Molecule: non-coding RNA, 122 nt
Filed under: Cronobacter malonaticus
Lineage: Bacteria; Pseudomonadati; Pseudomonadota; Gammaproteobacteria; Enterobacterales; Enterobacteriaceae
Description: Pseudoknot of the regulatory region of the repBA gene
Rfam family: Pseudoknot of the regulatory region of the repBA gene
Source: RNAcentral
AACCCCCUGAAAUCUGCUAACGAACUUGGCGGAACGUACAGAUAUUCAGGGGGCCCAAAAGCAGGCUGGUAGCCUGUGAAGGAUUAUAACGCAUGCAUUACAUAACACAACACCCGGCCGCC